Molecule: long non-coding RNA, 1808 nt
Organism: Fukomys damarensis (Damara mole-rat)
Lineage: Eukaryota; Metazoa; Chordata; Mammalia; Rodentia; Bathyergidae
Source: Ensembl
CUUUAGGUGUAAGCCUGUGAAUCUGCUCACAUAACUGAGUGGCUGUAUCAUGGACAAAAAGGUACUACAGCUUUAGCUGCUUUGGCUGGUUGGAGGCCGCAGGAGCCGUCUGUGUGUCUCACAUACUUUCUUUCUAAUGUUACUUCCAAGGUCAGGGGCAACAGCAAGGCGUAGUUGAUAAGCCAUAGGGCUGAAGGUCAGACGGAGGUCAUGUGCUUCCUCAUUUCCUUGACUAUUUGGAUCCAUCAGGUAGGUUCUGAGUGUGUGGAAGGGAUGUCACUGCCAUCUACUCCUGCCGCUGCUUCUCCCAGGGUUAGGAUGAACCUUCACUUGAGCCUCUCCCCUCCACCACCUCUUCAAAUGAUGCUCGUGAAAUGAGCAGUUGUUCAUCCGUACGUUUAGACGCCCCUGGGCUGUGCUUACUGGUGGACAGGGACGCUGUGCGUGCCUCAGAGGUUAGGACCUGAAUAGUGAAGUCACAGGGGCCAGUCUUCUGCUGUCUGUCCCAGGCCGUCUUUGAGGAGCUGGGUAGGUGGGACAGGACAGACACUUACUUACUAAGGAGAAUGAGCUGGGGAUUCUGCACCCAGCGCCUAGCAAAAACGUGCUAAAGAACUCUUAGACAUUCCUCAUUCCUCUGAGUUCUAAGCCUGGCAACAGUGGUAGUUUCCUCUCCGUCCUCUUGUCGCUGAAUCUUCUCUCCUCACUCCCCCUUCUGAUGUCCGUGUCUCCCUUCACCUCCAUGUCUGACACCUGCCCUUUCGGGUCUGAACUUCCCCAUCCGAUUUGGAGUGAGGCAGCUCUUCUGAUUUUGCCAACUCCUUCCUCCCCGUUGCCCAGGGGCCAAACCAGGGUGGAAAAUGAGCGUAGGAGUAAAUGAUGAUGUGUAUUCCGCUACACCUUCCCUGGCCUGCUUAAUCUCCUGAUCCCCCACACCCAGUAAGGAUGGCAAUGACUGACACAAGCAUUAAAGAUAUGGAAACGUCCCUCCUGAAUGAUCUCACUAAUGCCAAGUCUCUGGAUUGCUGGAGCAUCUGAAUGCCAGAAUGAAAUAUUUGGAAUCUUCUCCAGAUGUUUCAGACCACCGGAAGUCCUGCUGCAUGCUGCCCCAGGAAAACUAGGGACCUGCCUCCUCAGACCUGCCCAGCACGUAACGGGCCUCCCAGAGGGCAAGGGUCUCUGCAUCAGCACAAUCCCAUUACUGCCCCCAGCUGUGACUCUGCCCUCUCUGUUAACUCCUGCCCAGGGUUUCUCUGCAAGACAGAGCUCCCACUCACGACCUUAGAAGGUUCUGGGGAGCAGCAGCCACACUUUGGUCUAGGGAAGCAUUAGCUGGGGAUGAAGAGGAUAGGCAGCGCCCUUGGGUGAGGUGCCUUUCAGAGAGAAGCCCAUGGCUCCCAAUGUGACCCCAAAGCACAUGCAGUUUAAAUAUUCACACAGCCUCCCUAGAAAACUCGCUGGCAGGAACCAUGUGUGCAAGUCCCUGGCCAGAUCAAUCCCUACCCUGCUGAAUUUCUGUCUCUGUAAGUGUUUGGCUUCUUGAGCCUCAGCCUCCUAUGCUGAAAGUGCUAACCUUUCCCAGAAGAGUCUUUUCCGACAGAAUGGUCCGUACAGCCCCGAGAUCCCAUGAUGGGAUAGGGAUGCAGGCAACCUGGGAGAUGACCCUGAGCCAGGGAGCACACUGUGCCCACCUGUGCACACUGGAUCCACAUGCAGGCACCCUCCCCACAGCCCUGCCGGCACAGCUGGGCAGCAGCAGGCGGCCUCUUCAUGUAAAUUAAAUAAAACAACCUUUUUAUCUGUUGGCU